GACGAACGCUGGCGGCGUGCUUAACACAUGCAAGUCGAACGGAAAGGCCCUGCUUUUGUGGGGUGCUCGAGUGGCGAACGGGUGAGUAACACGUGAGUAUCCGUCCUUGACUGUGGGAAAAACUUAAGAAACUGGGGACUAUACCCGACAUGAGGCGCUGCCGCAUGGUGGGGGUUGGGAAGUUUCGGCGGUUGGGGAUGGACUUGCGGCUUAUCAGCUUGUUGGUGGGGUAGUGGCUUACCAAGGCUUUGACGGGUAGCCGGCCUGAGAGGGUGACCGGCCACAUUGGGACUGAGAUACGGCCCAGACUCCUACGGGAGGCAGCAGUGGGGAAUAUUGCACAAUGGGCGGAAGCCUGAUGCAGCAACGCCGCGUGCGGGAUGACGGCCUUCGGGUUGUAAACCGCUUUCGCCUGUGACGAAGCGUGAGUGACGGUAAUGGGUAAAGAAGCACCGGCUAACUACGUG
Molecule: ribosomal RNA, 467 nt
Filed under: uncultured bacterium
Lineage: Bacteria
Description: partial 16S ribosomal RNA
Rfam family: Bacterial small subunit ribosomal RNA
Source: RNAcentral